This 478-nucleotide ribosomal RNA is filed under the name uncultured bacterium. RNAcentral describes it as "partial 16S ribosomal RNA". It matches the Rfam family "Bacterial small subunit ribosomal RNA", at positions 28 to 523 of the family's 1533-position model. The record is from RNAcentral.
GACGAACGCUGGUGGCGUACUUAACACAUGCAAGUCGAACGGUAAGGCCCUUCGGGGUACACGAGUGGCGAACGGGUGAGUAACACGUGGGUGAUCUGCCCUGCACUUCGGGAUAAGCCUGGGAAACUGGGUCUAAUACCGGAUAGGACCACUGCCUGCAUGGGUGGUGGUGGAAAGCUUUUGCGGUGUGGGAUGGGCCCGCGGCCUAUCAGCUUGUUGGUGGGGUGAUGGCCUACCAAGGCGACGACGGGUAGCCGGCCUGAGAGGGUGACCGGCCACACUGGGACUGAGAUACGGCCCAGACUCCUACGGGAGGCAGCAGUGGGGAAUAUUGCACAAUGGGCGCAAGCCUGAUGCAGCGACGCCGCGUGAGGGAUGACGGCCUUCGGGUUGUAAACCUCUUUCAGCACCGACGAAGCGCAAGUGACGGUAGGUGCAGAAGAAGGACCGGCCAACUACGUGCCAGCAGCCGCGGUAA